ACUCGUAGACUCCUACGGGAGGCAGCAGUGGGGAAUAUUGCACAAUGGGCGGGAAGCCUGAUGCAGCAACGCCGCGUGCGGGAUGACGGCCUUCGGGUUGUAAACCGCUUUCGCCUGUGACGAAGCGUGAGUGACGGUAAUGGGUAAAGAAGCACCGGCUAACUACGUGCCAGCAGCCGCGGUGAUACGUAGGGUGCGAGCGUUGUCCGGAUUUAUUGGGCGUAAAGGGCUCGUAGGUGGUUGAUCGCGUCGGAAGUGUAAUCUUGGGGCUUAACCCUGAGCGUGCUUUCGAUACGGGUUGACUUGAGGAAGGUAGGGGAGAAUGGAAUUCCUGGUGGAGCGGUGGAAUGCGCAGAUAUCAGGAGGAACACCAGUGGCGAAGGCGGUUCUCUGGGCCUUUCCUGACGCUGAGGAGCGAAAGCGUGGGGAGCGAACAGGCUUAGAUACCCUGGUAG
RNAcentral lists this ribosomal RNA (455 nucleotides) under uncultured bacterium. RNAcentral describes it as "bacterial SSU rRNA". It matches the Rfam family "Bacterial small subunit ribosomal RNA", at positions 327 to 793 of the family's 1533-position model. The record is from RNAcentral.